RNAcentral lists this ribosomal RNA (443 nucleotides) under uncultured bacterium. RNAcentral describes it as "partial 16S ribosomal RNA". It matches the Rfam family "Bacterial small subunit ribosomal RNA", at positions 338 to 795 of the family's 1533-position model. The record is from RNAcentral.
CCUACGGGUGGCAGCAGUGGGGAAUAUUGGGCAAUGGGCGCAAGCCUGACCCAGCAACGCCGCGUGAAGGAAGAAGGCCCUCUGGUUGUAAAAUUCUUUUUUCAGGGACGCAGCGCGUGACGGUUCCUGAGGAAUAAGCCAUGGCUAACUACGUGCCAGCAGCCGCCGUAAUACGUAGGUGGCAGGCGUUAUUCGGAUUUCCUGGGUGUAAAGGGCGUGUUGGCGGGAAAGGAAGCCAGAUGGGAAAACGAUGGUCUCAACCUGUGGCCUGCAGUUGAAACUGGUUUUCUUGAGUACGGGAGAGGUAGACGGAAUGCGUGGUGUAGCGGUGAAAUGCGUAGAUAUUAGGAGGAACACCAGUGGCGAAGGCGGUAUGCUGGAGAGCAACUGACGCUGAGGCGCGAAAGCGUGGGGAGCGAACAGGAUUAGAUACCCGGGUAGUC